Molecule: long non-coding RNA, 1421 nt
Filed under: Nothobranchius furzeri (turquoise killifish)
Lineage: Eukaryota; Metazoa; Chordata; Actinopteri; Cyprinodontiformes; Nothobranchiidae
Description: lncRNA (ENSNFUG00015020080.1)
Source: RNAcentral
AUGAAGUAUCCUGGAUGGACGGCGUCGCAGGUGGAGAAGGAGCUGAGCAGCGUAGUGGCUCCUUUAGCUGAGCUCGAGAGACGUCUUAAAUAUCUGCACCCUCAGAAAAUAGAAGUAAACCGGGGCGUGUACUGGUUCCUGGCUUCUCUCCCAGAAGACAAAGCUGUGGAGACGGUGAAAACGCUGCUGAGACAAACGCGUCCUCGUGUCUCGUCGUCCACGGGCGACACCGCUGAGACUUUGGGACUUGAAGUUUCAAGCUCAGACGACGGCGUACGUGUGUUUGAUCGUGAAGUCUCCGACGUUUGUGAUAAGCAAAUACAGACGGAUCUGAUCCAGAUAACAGAAAUGUUGAAGGAGGACGACCGUCCGGGGGAUCUUCAGAGGUCAGAUGAUCCGAUUCAGGAACCUCGCUCUUGUGUUAGCAGCGAUCAAGUUAAUCCAGAUCCAGUUCCGGGUGUUCAAGAUGAAGAAAUGAUAGAAACCGUCCAGCAGGAUUCCUUUGAUCCAGAUGCAGAAGUUAAAGACGACGUCACCGACGUGUCUGGGACUCCCCGUAAGUCCCCGACUCCCUUCCACAUCUCAGAAGAAGCAGAAACCCUCGUCGGUCCGGGGCGAUGGCGUCCACCUGCUGCUGAAACACAACAGUGGAAGAGAGAUGUGCGCCAACUGGACGAAGAACUCCUCACAAGACCACAAAAGGUUCCACGUUUUCAAACCUGCGGCCUGCAGCCGCAAACUUGUGCUGAAGCAGGACAGCAGAGCCCGUCAGGACCGAGCUACAGAGCAGAAGUAGCUCCGGAACAAGGAGCAGAACCCCGAGGACAAAGAGCAUCACAGGAAGGACCCAGAGCUUUAUUAGGGGGAAAAGCUCCGAGCUGCAGCCAUUUGUCUUUCUACCUAACAGCAGGCGGAUGUGGCUCCAGACCCGUCGUCGGCAUGGCCUCCGUGUGGGAGUGCCGGGGACUUUCUCAGGACACUUUCUUCCUGUGUGAAAGCUGUGAGGACAUCCUGUCCCACAGAGACAUCUGUCUGCAUCUGGUCAGCCGGGAUCACCAGCUCAACUACCUGUGGAGGGAACGUCCCGAGGUUCUGGAAACGUUCUGGCCGAGGGAGGAUCUGCCGUCAGAGCUGAGAAAGGAAAUUUUAAACCGCGUCGUUUGGGAAUUUGCUGUGUGGGAGCGGGACAGGGUGGACACGCCGGUACCACCCAGAUGCGUUAGUCUGUGCUGCACAAACUCUUCCUGUUUCACAUUAAUCUACAGGCUUGUUUGUAUUUGUCCUAAAGUGUGUGCUGCUGGAACAGGAGCUCCAUCAGUUCGUUAGGACAGCUCACUACAUCGAAGCUCUUAAUAUUUUGAGAUUCAUCACAAAUGAAGAGACAAGUGUCCGCCUGUCCAACAGAACCACACACCAGAAAA